AUUGAACGCUGGCGGCAGGCCUAACACAUGCAAGUCGAGCGAGCGGCGGACGGGUGAGUAAUGUAUGGGAAACUGCCUGAUGGAGGGGGAUAACUAAUGGAAACGGUAGCUAAUACCGCAUACCAUCAGAUGUGCCCAGAUGGGAUGAGCUAGUAGGUGGGGUAACGGCUCACCUAGUCGACGAUCCCUAGCUGUUCUGAGAGGAUGACCAGCCACACUGGAACUGAGACACGGUCCAGACUCCGACGGGAGGCAGCAGUGGGGAAUAUUGCACAAUGGGCGCAAGCCUGAUGCAGCAAUGCCGCGUGUGUGAAGAAGGCCUUCGGGUUGUAAAGCACUUUCAGCGGGGAGGCGUUACCCGCAGAAGAAGCAACGGCUAACUCCGUGCCAGCCGCCGCGGUAAUAC
RNAcentral lists this ribosomal RNA (406 nucleotides) under uncultured bacterium. Its description in RNAcentral is "partial 16S ribosomal RNA". It matches the Rfam family "Bacterial small subunit ribosomal RNA", at positions 30 to 526 of the family's 1533-position model. The record is from RNAcentral.